RNAcentral lists this long non-coding RNA (280 nucleotides) under Carica papaya (papaya). RNAcentral's name for it is "long non-coding RNA (CPAP_LNC007518)". Lineage: Eukaryota; Viridiplantae; Streptophyta; Magnoliopsida; Brassicales; Caricaceae. The record is from RNAcentral.
AUUUCCCCAGUGGCUAAAUCGGAGCCAAAAUCCCAGCCAAACGGCCAGAAAACACGGCCGAAAGCCAGCAGCGCCGCCGCGCCCCUCCUCGGUUUUUGCCUCCGAUGAGGCCCUUCCCGGCCUCUGUUUAAUGCAAUUUUUAUAUCACCGUGAUCACCAUUCUUUCCUCUACAGGUUGAUCGGAGCCGAAUCACCAAAACACGAACUUCACCGGAGAGCCACCGCACCCGAGAGCACCGCCGCCGGUAAGCUUCGGUUUUCCGUAAAUUUUCGGCCCCCC